AUUUCUUCCGCGUCACAGAUUCCUCUGGUUUUAAGAAAAAGUACUGCGGUGUCAAGGGUUCUCUGACUGUGUCUGAUAAAUCUAGUAAAGUUACUGUCUUGUUCAAAACAAACAAGAAGAAAUCUAAUACAGGAUUUUCCUGCUCUGUCAGAGCUUCAGUGCCAGACUCCCAAACAACAACUGUAGACC
Molecule: non-coding RNA, 189 nt
Organism: Penaeus vannamei (Pacific white shrimp)
Lineage: Eukaryota; Metazoa; Arthropoda; Malacostraca; Decapoda; Penaeidae
Source: RefSeq, a predicted model, not a curated record